AACCUCCGCAAUGUGAGAAAUCGCGACGGGGGGAUCCCAAGUGCCAUUCCUAACGGGAUGGCUUUUCAUUAGUGUAAAGAGCUUUUGGAAUAAGGGCUGGGCAAGACCGGUGCCAGCCGCCGCGGUAACACCGGCAGCUCUAGUGGUAGCAGUUUUUAUUGGGCCUAAAGCGUCCGUAGCCGGUUUAAUAAGUCUCUGGUGAAAUCCUGUAGCUUAACUGUGGGAAUUGCUGGAGAUACUAUUAGACUUGAGACCGGGAGAGGUUAGAGGUACUCUCAGGGUAGAGGUGGAAUUCUGUAAUCCUGGGAGGACCGCCUGUUGCGAAGGCGUCUAACUGGAACGGUUCUGACGGUGAGGGACGAAAGUUAGGGGCGCGAACCGGAUUAGAUACCCGGGUAGUCCUAACCGUAAACGAUGCGGACUGGUGUUGGGGUGGCUUUGAGCUGCUCCAGUGCCGAAGGGAAGCUGUUAAGUCCGCCGCCUGGGAAGUACGGUCGCAAGACUGAAACUUAAAGGAAUU
Molecule: ribosomal RNA, 520 nt
Filed under: uncultured bacterium
Lineage: Bacteria
Description: bacterial SSU rRNA
Rfam family: Archaeal small subunit ribosomal RNA
Source: RNAcentral